GGGUUGUGAGGUUAAGCGACUAAGCGUACACGGUGGAUGCCCUGGCAGUCAGAGGCGAUGAAGGACGUGCUAAUCUGCGAAAAGCGUCGGUAAGGUGAUAUGAACCGUUAUAACCGGCGAUGUCCGAAUGGGGAAACCCAGUGCAAUUCGUUGCACUAUCGUUAACUGAAUACAUAGGUUAACGAGGCGAACCGGGGGAACUGAAACAUCUAAGUACCCCGAGGAAAAGAAAUCAACCGAGAUUCCCCCAGUAGCGGCGAGCGAACGGGGAGCAGCCCAGAGUCUGAAUCAGCUUGUGUGUUAGUGGAACGGUCUGGAAAGUCCGACGGUACAGGGUGAUAGUCCCGUACACCAAAAUGCACAGGCUGUGAACUCGAAGAGUAGGGCGGGACACGUGGUAUCCUGUCUGAAUAUGGGGGGACCAUCCUCCAAGGCUAAAUACUCCUGACUGACCGAUAGUGAACCAGUACCGUGAGGGAAAGGCGAAAAGAACCCCGGCGAGGGGAGUGAAAAAGAACCUGAAACCGUGUACGUACAAGCAGUGGGAGCACCUUCGGGUGUGACUGCGUACCUUUUGUAUAAUGGGUCAGCGACUUAUAUUCUGUAGCAAGGUUAACCGUAUAGGGGAGCCGCAGGGAAACCGAGUCUUAACUGGGCGUUAAGUUGCAGGGUAUAGACCCGAAACCCGGUGAUCUAGCCAUGGGCAGGUUGAAGGUUGGGUAACACUAACUGGAGGACCGAACCGACUAAUGUUGAAAAAUUAGCGGAUGACUUGUGGCUGGGGGUGAAAGGCCAAUCAAACCGGGAGAUAGCUGGUUCUCCCCGAAAGCUAUUUAGGUAGCGCCUCGUGAACUCAUCUUCGGGGGUAGAGCACUGUUUCGGCUAGGGGGUCAUCCCGACUUACCAACCCGAUGCAAACUACGAAUACCGAAGAAUGUUAUCACGGGAGACACACGGCGGGUGCUAACGUCCGUCGUGAAGAGGGAAACAACCCAGACCGCCAGCUAAGGUCCCAAAGUCAUGGUUAAGUGGGAAACGAUGUGGGAAGGCACAGACAGCCAGGAUGUUGGCUUAGAAGCAGCCAUCAUUUAAAGAAAGCGUAAUAGCUCACUGGUCGAGUCGGCCUGCGCGGAAGAUGUAACGGGGCUAAACCAUGCACCGAAGCUGCGGCAGCGACACUAUGUGUUGUUGGGUAGGGGAGCGUUCUGUAAGCCUGCGAAGGUGACCUGUGAGGGUUGCUGGAGGUAUCAGAAGUGCGAAUGCUGACAUAAGUAACGAUAAAGCGGGUGAAAAGCCCGCUCGCCGGAAGACCAAGGGUUCCUGUCCAACGUUAAUCGGGGCAGGGUGAGUCGACCCCUAAGGCGAGGCCGAAAGGCGUAGUCGAUGGGAAACAGGUUAAUAUUCCUGUACUUGGUGUUACUGCGAAGGGGGGACGGAGAAGGCUAUGUUAGCCGGGCGACGGUUGUCCCGGUUUAAGCAUGUAGGCUGAUUGUCCAGGCAAAUCCGGAUAAUCAAGGCUGAGGUGUGAUGACGAGGCACUACGGUGCUGAAGUAACAAAUGCCCUGCUUCCAGGAAAAGCCUCUAAGCAUCAGGUAACAUCAAAUCGUACCCCAAACCGACACAGGUGGUCAGGUAGAGAAUACCAAGGCGCUUGAGAGAACUCGGGUGAAGGAACUAGGCAAAAUGGUGCCGUAACUUCGGGAGAAGGCACGCUGGUGUGUAGGUGAAGCCCCCGCGGGUGGAGCUGAGACCAGUCGAAGAUACCAGCUGGCUGCAACUGUUUAUUAAAAACACAGCACUGUGCAAACACGAAAGUGGACGUAUACGGUGUGACGCCUGCCCGGUGCCGGAAGGUUAAUUGAUGGGGUUAUCCGUAAGGAGAAGCUCUUGAUCGAAGCCCCGGUAAACGGCGGCCGUAACUAUAACGGUCCUAAGGUAGCGAAAUUCCUUGUCGGGUAAGUUCCGACCUGCACGAAUGGCGUAAUGAUGGCCAGGCUGUCUCCACCCGAGACUCAGUGAAAUUGAACUCGCUGUGAAGAUGCAGUGUACCCGCGGCAAGACGGAAAGACCCCGUGAACCUUUACUAUAGCUUGACACUGAACAUUGAGCCUUGAUGUGUAGGAUAGGUGGGAGGCUUUGAAGCGUGGACGCCAGUCUGCGUGGAGCCAACCUUGAAAUACCACCCUUUAAUGUUUGAUGUUCUAACGUUGGCCCCUGACCGGGGUUGCGGACAGUGUCUGGUGGGUAGUUUGACUGGGGCGGUCUCCUCCCAAAGCGUAACGGAGGAGCACGAAGGUUAGCUAAUCCUGGUCGGACAUCAGGAGGUUAGUGCAAUGGCAUAAGCUAGCUUGACUGCGAGCGUGACGGCGCGAGCAGGUGCGAAAGCAGGUCAUAGUGAUCCGGUGGUUCUGAAUGGAAGGGCCAUCGCUCAACGGAUAAAAGGUACUCCGGGGAUAACAGGCUGAUACCGCCCAAGAGUUCAUAUCGACGGCGGUGUUUGGCACCUCGAUGUCGGCUCAUCACAUCCUGGGGCUGAAGUAGGUCCCAAGGGUAUGGCUGUUCGCCAUUUAAAGUGGUACGCGAGCUGGGUUUAGAACGUCGUGAGACAGUUCGGUCCCUAUCUGCCGUGGGCGCUGGAGAAUUGAGGGGGGCUGCUCCUAGUACGAGAGGACCGGAGUGGACGCAUCACUGGUGUUCGGGUUGUCAUGCCAAUGGCACUGCCCGGUAGCUAAAUGCGGAAGAGAUAAGUGCUGAAAGCAUCUAAGCACGAAACUUGCCCCGAGAUGAGUUCUCCCUGAGACUUUAAGUCUCCUGAAGGAACGUUAAAGACGAUGACGUUGAUAGGCCGGGUGUGUAAGCGCAGCGAUGCGUUGAGCUAACCGGUACUAAUGAACCGUGAGGCUUAACCUUACAACGCCGAAG
This 2923-nucleotide ribosomal RNA is filed under the name Klebsiella pneumoniae. RNAcentral describes it as "23S ribosomal RNA". It matches the Rfam family "Bacterial large subunit ribosomal RNA". The record is from RNAcentral. Lineage: Bacteria; Pseudomonadati; Pseudomonadota; Gammaproteobacteria; Enterobacterales; Enterobacteriaceae.